AAGACCUGAACGCAACAAACCCAGAACCAAGAAGACCUGAACGCAACAAACCCAGAAACAAGAAGACCUGAACACAACAAACCCAGAAACAAGAAGACCUGAACACAAUAAUUUAAACCAAAACCUUAUACACUAUAUAUACAAAAGUAUGUGGACAUCCCUUCAAAUUAGUGGAUUUGGCUAUUUCAGCCACACCGGUUGCUGACGGGUGUAUAAAAUUGAAUACACAGCCAUGCAAUCUCCAUAGCAAACAUUGGCAGUAGAAUGGCCUUAAUUAAGAGCUCAGUGACUGCCCGUCAACUGUAAGUGCUGUUAUUGUGAAUUGUAAACGACUACGAGCAACAACGGCUCAGCCGCGAAGUGGUAGGCCACACAAGCUCACAGAACGGGGCCGCUGAGAGCUGUCCUCGGUUGCCACACUCAGCACAAUAACUGUUCUUCGGGAGCUUCAUGAAGUGGGUUUCAAUGGCCGAGCAGCCUAAGAUCCCCAUGCGCAAUGCCAAGCGUCAGCUGGAGUGGUGUAAAGCUCGCCGCCAUUGGACUCUGGAGCAGUGGAAACGCAUUCUCUUGAGUAAUGAAUCACUCUUCACCAUCUGACAGGCCCACGGAUGAAUCUGGGUUUGGCGGAUGCCAGGAGAACGCUACCUGCCCCACUUCAUAGUGCCAACUCUAAAUAAUGGUCUGGGGCUGUUUUUCAUGGUUCGGGCUAGGCCCAUUCAUUCCAGUGAAGGGAAAUCUUUACGCUACAGCAUACAAUGACAUUCUAGAUAAUUCUGUGCUUCCAACAGUUUGGGGAAGGCCCUUUCCUGUUUCAGCAUGACAAUUCCCCUGUGCACAAAGUGAGGUCCAUACAGAAAUGGUUUGUCGAGAUCGAUGUGGAAGAACUUGACUGGCCUGCACAGAGACCUGAUCUCAACCCCAUCGAACACCAACUGCGAGCCAGUGUCCGAACUAACUUAGGAGAAGCAGAAGCAGGUUCUUAAUGAGAUCCACAGGAGGAAGAGAUGCCACAGCAGACACACAG
Molecule: long non-coding RNA, 1024 nt
Filed under: Salmo salar (Atlantic salmon)
Lineage: Eukaryota; Metazoa; Chordata; Actinopteri; Salmoniformes; Salmonidae
Description: lncRNA (ENSSSAG00000104567.1)
Source: RNAcentral